GGGUUGUGAGGUUAAGCGACUAAGCGUACACGGUGGAUGCCCUGGCAGUCAGAGGCGAUGAAGGGCGUGCUAAUCUGCGAUAAGCGCCGGUAAGGUGAUAUGAACCGUUAUAACCGGCGAUACCCGAAUGGGGAAACCCAGUGUGAUUCGUCACACUAUCAUUAACUGAAUCCAUAGGUUAAUGAGGCGAACCGGGGGAACUGAAACAUCUAAGUACCCCGAGGAAAAGAAAUCAACCGAGAUUCCCCCAGUAGCGGCGAGCGAACGGGGAGGAGCCCAGAGCCUGAAUCAGCAUGUGUGUUAGUGGAAGCGUCUGGAAAGGCGCGCGAUACAGGGUGACAGCCCCGUACACAAAAGCGCAUGUGCUGUGAGCUCGAUGAGUAGGGCGGGACACGUGGUAUCCUGUCUGAAUAUGGGGGGACCAUCCUCCAAGGCUAAAUACUCCUGACUGACCGAUAGUGAACCAGUACCGUGAGGGAAAGGCGAAAAGAACCCCGGCGAGGGGAGUGAAAAAGAACCUGAAACCGUGUACGUACAAGCAGUGGGANNNNNNNNNNNNNNNNNNNNNNNNNNNNNNNNNNNNNNNNNNNNNNNNNNNGGGCGUUAAGUUGCAGGGUAUAGACCCGAAACCCGGUGAUCUAGCCAUGGGCAGGUUGAAGGUUGGGUAACACUAACUGGAGGACCGAACCGACUAAUGUUGAAAAAUUAGCGGAUGACCUGUGGCUGGGGGUGAAAGGCCAAUCAAACCGGGAGAUAGCUGGUUCUCCCCGAAAGCUAUUUAGGUAGCGCCUCGUGAAUUCAUCUCCGGGGGUAGAGCACUGUUUCGGCUAGGGGGCCAUCCCGGCUUACCAACCCGAUGCAAACUGCGAAUACCGGAGAAUGUUAUCACGGGAGACACACGGCGGGUGCUAACGUCCGUCGUGAAGAGGGAAACAACCCAGACCGCCAGCUAAGGUCCCAAAGUCAUGGUUAAGUGGGAAACGAUGUGGGAAGGCCCAGACAGCCAGGAUGUUGGCUUAGAAGCAGCCAUCAUUUAAAGAAAGCGUAAUAGCUCACUGGUCGAGUCGGCCUGCGCGGAAGAUGUAACGGGGCUAAACCAUGCACCGAAGCUGCGGCAGCGACGCUUAUGCGUUGUUGGGUAGGGGAGCGUUCUGUAAGCCUGCGAAGGUGGCCUGUGAGGGUUGCUGGAGGUAUCAGAAGUGCGAAUGCUGACAUAAGUAACGAUAAAGCGGGUGAAAAGCCCGCUCGCCGGAAGACCAAGGGUUCCUGUCCAACGUUAAUCGGGGCAGGGUGAGUCGACCCCUAAGGCGAGGCCGAAAGGCGUAGUCGAUGGGAAACGGGUUAAUAUUCCCGUACUUGGUGUUACUGCGAAGGGGGGACGGAGAAGGCUAUGUUGGCCGGGCGACGGUUGUCCCGGUUUAAGCGUGUAGGUGUGUGUUCCAGGUAAAUCCGGUUCACUUUAACACUGAGGCGUGACGACGAGGCACUACGGUGCUGAAGCAACAAAUGCCCUGCUUCCAGGAAAAGCCUCUAAGCAUCAGGUAACAUCAAAUCGUACCCCAAACCGACACAGGUGGUCAGGUAGAGAAUACCAAGGCGCUUGAGAGAACUCGGGUGAAGGAACUAGGCAAAAUGGUGCCGUAACUUCGGGAGAAGGCACGCUGACACGUAGGUGAAGUGAUUUACUCAUGGAGCUGAAGUCAGUCGAAGAUACCAGCUGGCUGCAACUGUUUAUUAAAAACACAGCACUGUGCAAACACGAAAGUGGACGUAUACGGUGUGACGCCUGCCCGGUGCCGGAAGGUUAAUUGAUGGGGUCAGCGCAAGCGAAGCUCCUGAUCGAAGCCCCGGUAAACGGCGGCCGUAACUAUAACGGUCCUAAGGUAGCGAAAUUCCUUGUCGGGUAAGUUCCGACCUGCACGAAUGGCGUAAUGAUGGCCAGGCUGUCUCCACCCGAGACUCAGUGAAAUUGAACUCGCUGUGAAGAUGCAGUGUACCCGCGGCAAGACGGAAAGACCCCGUGAACCUUUACUAUAGCUUGACACUGAACAUUGAGCCUUGAUGUGUAGGAUAGGUGGGAGGCUUUGAAGUGUGGACGCCAGUCUGCAUGGAGCCGACCUUGAAAUACCACCCUUUAAUGUUUGAUGUUCUAACGUGGACCCGUUACCCGGGUUGCGGACAGUGUCUGGUGGGUAGUUUGACUGGGGCGGUCUCCUCCUAAAGAGUAACGGAGGAGCACGAAGGUUGGCUAAUCCUGGUCGGACAUCAGGAGGUUAGUGCAAUGGCAUAAGCCAGCUUGACUGCGAGCGUGACGGCGCGAGCAGGUGCGAAAGCAGGUCAUAGUGAUCCGGUGGUUCUGAAUGGAAGGGCCAUCGCUCAACGGAUAAAAGGUACUCCGGGGAUAACAGGCUGAUACCGCCCAAGAGUUCAUAUCGACGGCGGUGUUUGGCACCUCGAUGUCGGCUCAUCACAUCCUGGGGCUGAAGUAGGUCCCAAGGGUAUGGCUGUUCGCCAUUUAAAGUGGUACGCGAGCUGGGUUUAGAACGUCGUGAGACAGUUCGGUCCCUAUCUGCCGUGGGCGCUGGAGAACUGAGGGGGGCUGCUCCUAGUACGAGAGGACCGGAGUGGACGCAUCACUGGUGUUCGGGUUGUCAUGCCAAUGGCACUGCCCGGUAGCUAAAUGCGGAAGAGAUAAGUGCUGAAAGCAUCUAAGCACGAAACUUGCCCCGAGAUGAGUUCUCCCUGAGACUUAGAGUCUCCUGAAGGAACGUUGAAGACGACGACGUUGAUAGGCCGGGUGUGUAAGCGCAGCGAUGCGUUGAGCUAACCGGUACUAAUGAACCGUGAGGCUUAACCUUACAACGCCGAAG
RNAcentral lists this ribosomal RNA (2870 nucleotides) under Salmonella enterica subsp. enterica serovar Enteritidis. RNAcentral describes it as "bacterial LSU rRNA". It matches the Rfam family "Bacterial large subunit ribosomal RNA". Lineage: Bacteria; Pseudomonadati; Pseudomonadota; Gammaproteobacteria; Enterobacterales; Enterobacteriaceae. The record is from RNAcentral.